CCAGAGCCAGUGCUUCCAGGGCCAGUGAGGUUCCCUCUGUGGAAAGAGGUACAGCCCCCCAAGGGCAGGAUGGCACCUCCUCUUCACUGCUAACCUCCACCAUCAAUCAUCACCCUGGGAAUCUCCGCCUUGGAAGGGCCCUGUUGUCUCCUCCACUCCCCACCCUGACUCUGGUAAUGGUGUCGCUCCUGGCCCAUCACAUCCCCCUUCUCUGGACAGUGUGGAUUCUCUGAAGCACCCUUCACUGGCUGUGGGCAUGAGAUAUUCCCACCAGGAGGAAGGACAAGAGGUCCUGACCACGCUGGCCAUGCGGUCAGGGCACUACACCAUCCCUACCCUUGUGAUCCUAGGAGGAAGGAAGCCAGGGACCAGCUUCAGAAGCGUCUGGUGGGCGAAUGCAGCUGACGACACUUUCAACAUGCUGCACCGGGUGUCUGUUAAGGUGGCAUCAGCCUUACCAGUGUUGGUCCUAAAGUCCACUUGAAGAGUUCUGGGAGCUGGGAGCUCGAAUUCCAAGAUCAAUGCCUUUGGGAACAAGGCCUGAGAAGCCUUGCAGAAAGCUGGCCAGGUGUCAGAUGAGUGUGCCUGCUCAGCCUAAGGGAAGCAGUGUUUCUUGGGCUCCUGCUGGCUGUCACCAGGAGGAAAUUAUUGUCAGAUCCCUUAAUAUAUCAAAAGAAUCCAG
RNAcentral lists this long non-coding RNA (682 nucleotides) under Cavia porcellus (domestic guinea pig). Its description in RNAcentral is "lncRNA (ENSCPOG00000032201.1)". Lineage: Eukaryota; Metazoa; Chordata; Mammalia; Rodentia; Caviidae. The record is from RNAcentral.